Molecule: non-coding RNA, 348 nt
Filed under: Microbacterium oleivorans
Lineage: Bacteria; Bacillati; Actinomycetota; Actinomycetes; Micrococcales; Microbacteriaceae
Description: Bacterial large subunit ribosomal RNA
Rfam family: Bacterial large subunit ribosomal RNA
Source: Rfam by way of RNAcentral
CUGUUCGCCCAUUAAAGCGGUACGCGAGCUGGGUUUAGAACGUCGUGAGACAGUUCGGUCCCUAUCCGCUGCGCGCGUAGGAAAUUUGAGAGGAUCUGACCCUAGUACGAGAGGACCGGGUUGGACGAACCUCUGGUGUGCCAGUUGUUCUGCCAAGAGCACCGCUGGUUAGCUACGUUCGGGAUGGAUAACCGCUGAAAGCAUCUAAGCGGGAAGCCGGCCUCAAGAUGAGAUUUCCAUACCUUCGGGUGAGAGGCUCCCAGCCAGACUACUGGGUUGAUAGGCCGGAUGUGGAAGCGUGGUAACACGUGAAGCUGACCGGUACUAAUAAGCCGAUGAUUUGAUAAC